CAUGACGUCAUUGAUGUCCAUACCAUUCACCACGUUUAAACCCACCAUGGUUAAAUAGGUGUGAUUGAUUUGUUAUCAAUUUUUUUUUUUUGAAGUUAAUUAAGUAAAUAAUAUAUAUUAUCUGGUACCGAUAAAAUAAAUAUUACUGUGAUAACUAUAAUGAUAUUUCAACCACAAUCACGGUUAAAAAUAAUGAUAUGAAAUUAUCUUUAAUCUUUUAUGAUGUCAUCACCGAUCAUCACACACCAUCACAGCAAAUUUAGGACCAUGUGGAAUGUAAUACGUGUUCCUAUAAAAAAAAAAAGCAAAAGAUAACAAAAUAUUAAACGGGGUCUUAAUAUUAACAUAAUGUGUAUUUGAUUCUGAGCGAAGUGAAGAAUGUAUUGGUUUUAGAAUAAUGUUUAUUUUUUUUUCCUUUUGUGUUUACAUGAACACUUUUUCUACCAGAAUACUCCGAUAUUCAAGUAUAGCACCUUUUCU
Non-coding RNA from Cinara cedri, 480 nucleotides. NCBI's taxonomy places the organism in Eukaryota, Metazoa, Arthropoda, Insecta, Hemiptera, Aphididae. The record is from the annotation of a GenBank genome assembly.